This 1801-nucleotide small RNA is filed under the name Pongo abelii (Sumatran orangutan). RNAcentral's name for it is "retained intron". The record is from RNAcentral. Lineage: Eukaryota; Metazoa; Chordata; Mammalia; Primates; Hominidae.
GAAGUGCUCCCGGAUGAACUUGGCCGAGAGCAUCACCACGGCCACGCGGAGCGCAGGGAUGCUGGGGAAAGUAGGCGGGGCUAGGAACCCACCCACACCCUCUCCCUGGAAUCCCAGGGCCCACCUGGGUGAUGUUAUCCCAGAGACAGGGACAAGAGAUGAGAGGAUGGAAAUGUCUCUUUGGGAAAAAGGCUGCAGGAGCUGGAGGUGAUGAGCAGAGCAGGCGAAGGAAAGGGAGGCCCCCUCCUCCCUCCAUGUUAGAGAAGGGAGCCCUAGAUCUGGCCACCAGCGGCCUGUGCACACCUGGGGCUCAGGGCACACAGGGCUGCACCUACACACUCAAGGCCACUGUGAGAACAGGUGAGCAGGGCCAGAGGGCUGUGGAAAGCCCGGCUGAAGGCUGCACCUCCAGGCUGAAGAGAGCUUUACCAGCAUCCGCCAGGAAGCCUGGGCUCUGGGGCUGUGUCAUUGUAGAUGACCAUUUCCAGGUCGUGGCCACAGCCCCGGUUCUGGUCACAGCUGGGCCACCAAUCCUCCUGCACCACCCACCACUUAGCCACCGAGCCGUCUGCAGGGCAUUGGCUGGCCUCAGCUGCUGCAGCCAGCCAAUGGCGUUGCGGAAGGCUGGCCAGUCCACAUCCUGCAGCCUACGAGGAGGCCAGGUCUUUGUCAGCAAAGGUGGGAAACCAGGGGAGCGGCGGCACCAGGCCCCAGAGACAUUUGAAAUGACCUCAGAAGACCCAGGGCCACUCAGGGUGACCACAUUGGGGAGCUGCCUCUGACUGGCUGUGACGGAUGUUUAAGGAAGGGGUCGAUGGUCACCUGACUCUCAGGAGUGCAGGAGAGGCCACUGAGACCCAUUCAGAAGGGACUGGGUGUUGGUCCCUGUGGACUCGGCCUCUGGCUGGUGGUGAGGAGGAGGAUUUCUCACCACCCAUCCUCUGGCCCCUGCUGCCCAAGGGAGCAGACUCCUGUGAGCUGGGUUCCGGGAAGUCCGUCUCCAGCAGGAACUCCAGGCCAAGUGCACAUCUCUGUGAUCGUGUGUCACCAUGGCGGUGCGUGCGUGCAUGCGUGUGCACUGGUCUGUGGCCUGUGGUGCAUGAGUUCCACUAGGACCCAUGUGAGGUGGAGGGUCUUCCACGUCCCCUCCCAUUUGGGCCCUCCCUGUGCCACACAGACACCCAUCUGUGCCUUCCCCUUCUGUGCCACCAAAAACGGAAGAGAGACACUUAGAAGAAGCAACUCGAAUGGAAUGAAAUUGUUUCUAUCGGGGAAUGCUCAGACGUUCAAUCAUCUUAGAAAAUCCCACCCCAACUCCUGCUGCAGAUUAAUUACUCUAAGUGCAACUCCAGUCGGGCUGGUGACCCCCCAGGAAACCUCUGAAGCUGUCCCAGGCUGUUCCCAACACGGGACCUCCACUCUGGCACACCAGAACCCGAGGCCCCUGACAGGCUCCUCGUUCCUGCCUCGCUCAAGGCUCAGGUCCCCCACCUGAAAUGCCCCCUCCCACCAGCAUCUCCUGCCUCGCUCCUGCUGCCAGGUCCCCAAAAGCUCUUGUUCAUGAGCUCGCCUGCCAUCCACAGCCCCCACCAGAACCCAAGUGGCUGUGGAAUUCGCUGCCCUGAUUCUCUGCCCAGAGCCUCGGUCCAGACUGUGUUCCCUGGCGAAUUAGUGUUCAGCAUUUUUGUUUAUUUGUUUGUUCUUUAACAAAAGGUUGUUUUGGUUUGAGACUCAGCAAAAACACACACUGCAUUCAGCUUCCUCUCCGUUCAGGAUUCAGUAAAUUGAUUGUUUUCCCGUC